UAAGUGGAUUACACAUCAUAAAUUCACAAACCCAUAGCAAUAAAGAGUAUACUACAAGGUUUCCAUAACCCUAACAAAUAAACUUAGCUAUGCAUGAGUAAAACAGGAAUCAAAAUAGACAUAUUCGUCAUACCAAAACUUAGAACAAUCUUGGUGAUAAAAAUGACUAGAGACAAUAAGAGAGAAACGCGUUUCUCUCUCUUUGUCCUCAAGCUAAGCAUCUCCCUUCUUUUCAAAAAUAAUAUAGAAUCUGAAUAAUCUCAAUAAUCCCUAAAAAUUCAGCAAUAAUGCUUUUAAUAACAUCCUUCUCUAAUAAAUUGCUACUGCAUCCUUAACUAUUUAAAAAUACUGAGUUUGCUCGGGAAAAAGUUCCCAUGCAUCACAUUCAGUCCAAAAGUUGCCUUCCCUUUUAUGUGAAGUUUUCCUUUGCUGUCCACAGGGCCUCAAAGUGCUGAAAUCUUCCUCAUUAGUACCUAAAAAGCAUGUUAAUCACAUAGAUCAGCUCACUUAAUUGAAAAUAGACUAAAAGUGCAGGAAUUAUGUAUUUUAUCCUCAAAACUUAGCAAAAACAUGGGUAAGUUAUGGUUCUUAGACGUAUAAAUACGCCCAACAUCAAGUAAACCCAUAAGGUGUAAGGAAGCUGAUUGGUGGUAUCCCCUCGAGGGGUGCAUCGCCGACCGACCUUGAUCUUCUGAGAAGGGUUCGAGUGUGAGCAUACCUGUUGGGACCCAAAAGAUGGUAAACUAUGCCUGAGCGGGGUAAAGCUAGAGGAAACUCUGGUGGAGGCCCGCAGUGAUACUGACUUGCAAAUCGUUCGUCUGACUUGGGUGUAGGGCCCGCGGCUGCUUUGUCGAGCCGUGCCACGAAUCAAGAGCUCCAAGUGGGCCAUUUUGAGUAAGCAGAACUGGCGAUGUGGGAUAAACCAAAAUCUGGGUUACUGUUCCAAACUGUGCACUAACCUAGAUCCCAAAAUGUUAGGAAGUUCGGAGACAUCGGCAGGAGCCUCAGGAAGAGUUAUCUUUUCUGUGUAACCGCUUCCCACAGUGGAAUCGGCUUAGUCAGAGGUAGGGUCCAGUGGCUGGAAGAGCACCACACAUCACGUGGUGUCCGGUGCACUACCGAAGGCCCUUGAAAAUCCAAAGAACCGAAUGCCGUCCAUGCCCGGUCGUACUCAUAACCAUAUCAAGUCUCCAAGGGAACAACCUCUGGUUGAUGGAACAAUGUAGGCAAGGGAAGUCGGCAAAAUAGAUCCGUAACUUCUAGAAAAGGAUUAUCACUGAGGGCUGGGCAUGGGGGUCCCAGUCCCGAACCCAUCGGAUGUCGAUGGACUACUCAAGCUUCUCCCAUAGCGAGAGCGGGUCACUGCAUACCGAUCAGGGGAUGUACUGGGAACGGUUCCUUCAGGGGCCUUCCCUGCACAUCAAACAGCCAACUCAGAAUCGGUACGGACAAGGGGAAUCCGACUGUUUAAUUAAAACAAAGAAUUACUAUGGUCCCAACGGAUGUUCACGCAUUGUGAUUUCUACCCAGUGCUCUGAAUGUCAAAGUGAAAAAAUUCAACCAAGCGCGGGUAAACGGCGGGAGUAACUAUGACUUACUUAAGGUAGCCAAAUGCCUCAUCAUCUAAUUGGUGACGUGCAUGAAUGGAUUAACGAGAUUACCACUAUCCCUGUCUACUAUCCAGCAAAACCACAGCCAAAGGAACGUGCUUGGCAGAAUCAAUGGGGAAAGAAGACCCUCUUGAGCUUGACUCUACUCCGACUUUAUGAAAUGACUUAAGAGGUGUAGUAUAAGUGGGAUCCGUGAAUUGGAAUUGGGGCACUGCCCCUACUGGCUGGAUCAACUAGGUAGACAGGCAAAAGUGUAAUACCACUACUUUUAACAUUAUUUUACUUAUUCUGUGAAUUGCAAGCGGGGCACUGCCCCUCAUUUCAGACCCCAGUCUCACUCUGUGGGCUGAUCCAAGUGGAAGACAUUGCCAGGCGGGGAAUUUGGAUGGGGCGGCACAUCUGUUAAAAGAUAACGCAGGUGUCCUAAGAUGAGCUCAACGAGACCAGAAAUAUCGUGUAGAACAGAAGGGUAAAAGCUCGUUUGAUUCAAAUUUCCAUUACGAAUAAGAACCAUUAAAGUGUGGCCUAACGAUUCUUUAGACCUUCAGAAUUCAAAGCUGGAGGUGUUAGAAAAGUGCUACCACAGGGAUAGCUGUCCUGUUGUAACCAAGCGUUCAUAGCGACGUUGCUUUUUCAUCCUUUGAUGUUGGCUCUUCCUAUCAUUUUGAAGCAAAAUUCACCAAGUGUUGGACUGUUCACCCACCAAUAGAAAACAUGAGGUGGGUUUAGACCAUCGUGAGACAGGUUAGUUUUACCCUACUUAUGACAGUGUCACUGUAGUAAUUCAACCUAGUACGAGAAGAAAUAUUGAUUCACACAAUUUGUCAUUGCGCUUGGUUGAAAAACCAGUGGCGUAAUGCUACCGUGUGUUGGAUUAUAACUGAACAUCUCUAAGUUAGAAUUCGGACUAGAAGCGAUGCAUGCGCCUGCUAUCCGCUUGUCGACCCACAGUAGGUGCCUCGGCCCCCAAGGGCACAUGUCGUUUUCUAAGCCACCGCGGUAGAAGAAUCACGGAGGCCGCCUUGAAGUAUAAUUUCCAUCGAGCGGCCGGUAGAAUCCAUUGCA
RNAcentral lists this ribosomal RNA (2675 nucleotides) under Capsicum annuum. RNAcentral describes it as "eukaryotic LSU rRNA". It matches the Rfam family "Eukaryotic large subunit ribosomal RNA". Lineage: Eukaryota; Viridiplantae; Streptophyta; Magnoliopsida; Solanales; Solanaceae. The record is from RNAcentral.